GAUGAACGCUGGCGGCGUGCCUAAUACAUGCAAGUCGAGCGAGCGGACGAGAAGCUUGCUCUUCUGAUGUUAGCGGCGGACGGGUGAGUAACACGUGGAUAACCUACCUAUAAGACUGGGAUAACUUCGGGAAACCGGAGCUAAUACCGGAUAAUAUUUUGAACAGCAUGGUUCAAAAGUGAAAGACGGUCUUGCUGUCACUUAUAGAUGGAUCCGCGCUGCAUUAGCUAGUUGGUAAGGUAACGGCUUACCAAGGCAACGAUGCAUAGCCGACCUGAGAGGGUGAUCAGCCACACUGGAACUGAGACACGGUCCAGACUCCUACGGGAGGCAGCAGUAGGGAAUCUUCCGCAAUGGGCGAAAGCCUGACGGAGCAACGCCGCGUGAGUGAUGAAGGUCUUCGGAUCGUAAAACUCUGUUAUUAGGGAAGAACAUAUGUGUAAGUAACUGUGCACAUCUUGACGGUACCUAAUCAGAAAGCCACGGCUAACUACGUG
Molecule: ribosomal RNA, 497 nt
Filed under: uncultured bacterium
Lineage: Bacteria
Description: partial 16S ribosomal RNA
Rfam family: Bacterial small subunit ribosomal RNA
Source: RNAcentral